This 446-nucleotide unclassified non-coding RNA is filed under the name Portunus trituberculatus (swimming crab). RNAcentral describes it as "bursicon-like, transcript variant X1". Lineage: Eukaryota; Metazoa; Arthropoda; Malacostraca; Decapoda; Portunidae. The record is from RNAcentral.
UUGAUCAAAGCGAGUUUAAUUAUCAAAGUAACUGCCUACGAAACAAUUCGCUUCGUAGUCUGGAGCUUCGAGAGUCAUGGAUGAUGCUCAGAAGAUGGCGCACUCAACUCUCAGUUGUCCAGUGCUCUCCAAUAGUGAAAAUGGUCGCGCUACUAAGUAUCUUUCCGUCACUAGCUUUUAAUGAGGACAGACAGCAACAUUCGAGUUACGCAUCACAUUAUCACACCCUCGUAGAACAUUCUUAGGUGUUGACACGAGCACCCAUUGACUGCAUGUGUCGGCCAUGCACUGACGUGGAGGAGGGCACCGUGCUGGCCCAGGAGAUUGCCAACUUCAUCCAGGAUUCACCAAUGGACAGCGUUCCCUUCCUCAAGUAGACCAUCAUCUCCACACACACAUAUAUAUAUAUAUAAUGAAAUGUGUGUUUAAUAAAUUUCUAUCUGUCA